Molecule: small RNA, 767 nt
Filed under: Pan troglodytes (chimpanzee)
Lineage: Eukaryota; Metazoa; Chordata; Mammalia; Primates; Hominidae
Description: processed transcript
Source: RNAcentral
GGACCCAGCUGCGGCGACGCCAGGAGACCCCAAGCUGCAUCGCCGAGUGGAAGCAACUAGAACUCCAGGGCUGUGAAAGCCACAGGUGGGGGCUGAGCGAGGCGUGGCCUCAGGAGCGGAGGACCCCCCCCACUCCCCCACGAGCGCCGCAGUCCACCGUAGCGGGUGGAGCCCGCCUUGGUGCGCAGUUGGAAAACCUCGGAGCCCCGCUGGAUCUCCUGGCUGCCACCCGCACCCCCCACCAGCCUAGGCCCCACCGUAGAGAUGCCUUCUUCGGUGACGGCGCUGGGUCAGGCCAGGUCCUCCGGCCCCGGGAUGGCCCCGAGCGCCUGCUGCUGCUCCCCUGCAGCCGUGCAGAGGAGGCUGCCCAUCCUGGCGUGGCUGCCCAGCUACUCCCUGCAGUGGCUGAAGAUGGAUUUCGUCGCCGGCCUCUCAGUUGGCCUCACUGCCAUUCCCCAGGCGCUGGCCUAUGCUGAAGUGGCUGGACUCCCGCCCCAGUAUGGCCUCUACUCUGCCUUCAUGGGCUGCUUCGUGUAUUUCUUCCUGGGCACCUCCCGGGAUGUGACUCUGGGCCCCACCGCCAUUAUGUCCCUCCUGGUCUCCUUCUACACCUUCCAUGAGCCCGCCUACGCUGUGCUGCUGGCCUUCCUGUCCGGCUGCAUCCAGCUGGCCAUGGGGCUCCUGCGUUUGGCUCACAUCUCCCCUCAUCCUCUGGGACUGGGUGGAGCUGGGACCAGCUCGAUGUCCCCUCUUGGCUGGCCAGGGUU